Molecule: ribosomal RNA, 157 nt
Filed under: Cladosporium cladosporioides
Lineage: Eukaryota; Fungi; Ascomycota; Dothideomycetes; Cladosporiales; Cladosporiaceae
Description: 5.8S ribosomal RNA
Rfam family: 5.8S ribosomal RNA
About the family: 5.8S ribosomal RNA (5.8S rRNA) is a component of the large subunit of the eukaryotic ribosome.
Source: RNAcentral
UAAAACUUUUAACAACGGAUCUCUUGGUUCUGGCAUCGAUGAAGAACGCAGCGAAAUGCGAUAAGUAAUGUGAAUUGCAAAAUUCAGUGAAUCAUCGAAUCUUUGAACGCACAUUGCGCCCCCUGGUAUUCCGGGGGGCAUGCCUGUUCGAGCGUCA